Long non-coding RNA from Triticum aestivum (bread wheat), 296 nucleotides. RefSeq lists it as uncharacterized. The record is from RefSeq and is a predicted model, not a curated record. Lineage: Eukaryota; Viridiplantae; Streptophyta; Magnoliopsida; Poales; Poaceae. The transcript is spliced from 3 exons.
CCGGCAGCGCCGCCCCUGUUCUCGAGUUCUCCACUCGCCGCACGCGACCCAAGCGGCCAAGCAACGAACCGCCUCCUGAUCGGCACCGCACGGCGGCUAGGGUCCAGAGCUGCCGUCGCUUGAUCGGCGAUCGGUUGCAGGUGGCGGGUAGCAGGAUUGCAGGAAUCAAUCUAAUUUCAAAGCCACAACUCGAAUUCAACUAUCGAAGUGUCGAACUGAAUUCAGGCAGCUAGGCAGCGCUUUUGCUCUCAUAUUGUCCAGGCAGUAGGCUGCAGUACAGAAGUGCAAGACUAAGU